UGGGGAAUAUUGGACAAUGGGCGAAAGCCUGAUCCAGCCAUGCCACGUGUGUGAAGAAGGUCUUCGGAUUGUAAAGCACUUUAAGUUGGGAGGAAGGGCAUUAACCUAAUACGUUAGUGUUUUGACGUUACCGACAGAAUAAGCACCGGCUAACUCUGUGCCAGCAGCCGCGGUAAUACAGAGGGUGCAAGCGUUAAUCGGAAUUACUGGGCGUAAAGCGCGCGUAGGUGGUUUGUUAAGUUGGAUGUGAAAUCCCCGGGCUCAACCUGGGAACUGCAUUCAAAACUGACUGACUAGAGUAUGGUAGAGGGUGGUGGAAUUUCCUGUGUAGCGGUGAAAUGCGUAGAUAUAGGAAGGAACACCAGUGGCGAAGGCGACCACCUGGACUAAUACUGACACUGAGGUGCGAAAGCGUGGGGAGCAAACA
RNAcentral lists this ribosomal RNA (427 nucleotides) under uncultured bacterium. RNAcentral's name for it is "partial 16S ribosomal RNA". It matches the Rfam family "Bacterial small subunit ribosomal RNA", at positions 355 to 774 of the family's 1533-position model. The record is from RNAcentral.